AUACGUAGGUCCCGAGCGUUGUCCGGAUUUAUUGGGCGGUAAAGCGAGCGCAGGUGGUUUAAUAAGUCUGAUGUAAAAGGCAGUGGCUCAACCAUUGUGUGGCAUUGGAAGCUGUUAGACUUGAGUGCAGUAGAGGAGAGUGGAAUUCCAUGUGUAGCGGUGAAAUGCGUAGAUAUAUGGAGGAACACCGGUGGCGAAAGCGGCUCUCUGGACUGUCACUGACACUGAGGCUCGAAAGCGUGGGUAGC
RNAcentral lists this ribosomal RNA (248 nucleotides) under uncultured bacterium. RNAcentral's name for it is "partial 16S ribosomal RNA". It matches the Rfam family "Bacterial small subunit ribosomal RNA", at positions 523 to 769 of the family's 1533-position model. The record is from RNAcentral.